UAGGCGUACGUUUGUUAAUCGUUACAAAAAAAAAAUAAAUAAAAAUCUAUAUUUAAAAAGAAAAAAAAAAUAGCAAUUUAUUUUAAAAUUAAAAAAAAAUCUCGUAAUAUUUUUUUCUCUGUGUAUUUUUUAAUAUAAAAUUUGUGUGCAAUAAUUUUCAAUACGAAAAAUAUUUUAAAUAAAAGAAAAAAUUUAUUUAUGUUUGUAACAUAUAGGUUUAUAUGGAGUGUAUAUAUAUAUAUGAUAUUAUUAUGUAUGUAUAUAAUUUAUAAGUGAAUUUAAAUUUAUUGUUAUUUUUAAUGAAAAUUUGAUAAUAGCGCAUUCUUGUCUUUAUUGUUUUGUUCUUAUACACUCCGAUUAUCUUAUAAAGAAGUUAUAAUAACAUACACAGAAAAAAAAUAAAAAUUAUUUCAUAACUACAAAAGCUUAAAGAAGAAGUAAAAUAUUAAAAAUAAUAACAAUAAUAAUAAAAGUAAUAAAGGAAAAAAAUAGAAAACAUCAAGAUCAACUCUUAAAUACCAAUAACAACAACAAAUGUACCAAACUUGUACUAUUAGCCAAAGGAUAAAUUUUUAAAGCUCAAAAUACAAAAUUAUGUAAG
Molecule: long non-coding RNA, 601 nt
Organism: Condylostylus longicornis
Lineage: Eukaryota; Metazoa; Arthropoda; Insecta; Diptera; Dolichopodidae
Exons: 2
Source: RefSeq, a predicted model, not a curated record